CCUACGGGAGGCAGCAGUGGGGAAUUUUGGACAAUGGGCGCAAGCCUGAUCCAGCCAUGCCGCGUGUGUGAAGAAGGCCUUCGGGUUGUAAAGCACUUUCGGCCGGAACGAAAUCGCCUACGUUAAUAGCGGAGGUGGAUGACGGUACCGGAAGAAGAAGCACCGGCUAACUACGUGCCAGCAGCCGCGGUAAUACGUAGGGUGCGAGCGUUAAUCGGAAUUACUGGGCGUAAAGGGUGCGCAGGCGGCGUCGCAAGUCAGGCGUGAAAUCCCCGGGCUUAACCUGGGAAUGGCACUUGAAACUACGAUGCUGGAGUAUGGCAGAGGGAGGUGGAAUUCCACGUGUAGCGGUGAAAUGCGUAGAGAUGUGGAGGAACACCGAUGGCGAAGGCAGCCUCCUGGGCCAAUACUGACGCUCAUGCACGAAAGCGUGGGGAGCAAACAGGAUUAGAUACCCUGGUAGUCCACGCCCUAAACGAUGAUGACUAGUUGUUGGAGGAGUUAAAUCCUUUAGUAACGCAGCUAACGCGAGAAGUCAUCCGCCUGGGGAGUACGGUCGCAAGAUUAAAACUCAAAGGAAUUGACGG
Molecule: ribosomal RNA, 587 nt
Filed under: uncultured bacterium
Lineage: Bacteria
Description: bacterial SSU rRNA
Rfam family: Bacterial small subunit ribosomal RNA
Source: RNAcentral